CACGUAGGGGCCUAGCGUUGUCCGGAUUUAUUGGGCGUAAAGAGCUCGUAGGCGGUUGGGCAAGUCACGUGUGAAAUCUCCACGCUCAACGUGGAGGCGCCACGUGAGACUGCCCUGACUCGAGUCCGGUAGGGGAGCGUGGAAUUCCCGGUGUAGCGGUGAAAUGCGCAGAGAUCGGGAGGAACACCCGUAGCGAAGGCGGCGCUCUGGGCCGGUACUGACGCUGAGGAGCGAAAGCGUGGGGAGCAAACAGG
This 254-nucleotide ribosomal RNA is filed under the name uncultured bacterium. Its description in RNAcentral is "partial 16S ribosomal RNA". It matches the Rfam family "Bacterial small subunit ribosomal RNA", at positions 524 to 776 of the family's 1533-position model. The record is from RNAcentral.